UUUUCCGUAGGUGAACCUGCGGAAGGAUCAUUACCGAGUUGAUUCGAGCUCCGGCUCGACUCUCCCACCCCAUGUGUACCUACCUCUGUUGCUUUGGCGGGCCGCGGUCCUCCGCACCGACCCCCGUUCGGGGGCCGGCCAGCGCCCGCCAGAGGACCACAAAACUCCAGUCAGUAAACGUCGCAGUCUGAGAAACAAGUUAAUAAACUAAAACUUUCAACAACGGAUCUCUUGGUUCUGGCAUCGAUGAAGAACGCAGCGAAAUGCGAUAAGUAAUGUGAAUUGCAGAAUUCAGUGAAUCAUCGAAUCUUUGAACGCACAUUGCGCCCCUUGGUAUUCCGAGGGGCAUGCCUGUUCGAGCGUCAUUUCAACCCUCAAGCUCUGCUUGGUAUUGGGCUCCGUCCUCCGCGGACGCGCCUCGAAGACCUCGGCGGUGGCGUCUUGCCUCAAGCGUAGUAGAAAACACCUCGCUUUGGAGCGCAUGGCGUCGCCCGCCGGACGAACCUUUGAAUUUUUCUCAAGGUUGACCUCGGAUCAGGUAGGGAUACCCGCUGAACUUAAGCAUAUCAAUAA
Molecule: ribosomal RNA, 573 nt
Filed under: Neofusicoccum australe
Lineage: Eukaryota; Fungi; Ascomycota; Dothideomycetes; Botryosphaeriales; Botryosphaeriaceae
Description: eukaryotic LSU rRNA
Rfam family: 5.8S ribosomal RNA (bases 212-365)
Source: RNAcentral